GAUGAACGCUAGCGGCAGGCUUAAUACAUGCAAGUCGAGGGGCAGCAUGACUGUAGCAAUACAGUUGAUGGCGACCGGCAAACGGGUGCGGAACACGUACGCAACCUACCCAAAACUGAGGAAUAGCCCGGGGAAACCCGGAUUAAUACUUCGUAACAUAAUUGAAUGGCAUCAUUUAAUUAUUAUAGCUCCGGCGGUUUUGGAUGGGCGUGCGCCUGAUUAGGUAGUUGGUAGGGAACGGCCUACCAAGCCAACGAUCAGUAACUGGUGUGAGAGCACGACCAGUCACACGGGCACUGAGACACGGGCCCGACUCCUACGGGAGGCAGCAGUAAGGAAUAUUGGUCAAUGGACGCAAGUCUG
RNAcentral lists this ribosomal RNA (363 nucleotides) under uncultured bacterium. RNAcentral describes it as "bacterial SSU rRNA". It matches the Rfam family "Bacterial small subunit ribosomal RNA", at positions 28 to 385 of the family's 1533-position model. The record is from RNAcentral.